This 1799-nucleotide long non-coding RNA is filed under the name Mus musculus (house mouse). Its description in RNAcentral is "RIKEN cDNA 1110038B12 gene". The stretch from base 1245 to 1310 matches the Rfam family "Small nucleolar RNA SNORD52". The record is from RNAcentral. Lineage: Eukaryota; Metazoa; Chordata; Mammalia; Rodentia; Muridae.
GGUCUCUUUGUGCACCCGCCCACACGGUUUGCCGUGUUUUCACCCUUCUUUGUUCUCCACCGGUCUGGGCAGGGUCUGAGGACUCCGGAGAGCAAGGCAUGGGUCCGCCUCGUGCCGCAGGUAUCCUGGGGUCCUGUGGGGAGGGCUCUGCGGUGUGGGGCCGGGUAUGAUGACCCACAUUUACAGACUAGAGUUUCUGAUGUCCACGUGACGCCACUCCUUGUAACUGACCCAGGCCGGGGUGGGGGCUGCAGGCCGGGGUCUCUACGACCUGUGCUCAUUCAAUGAUCUCUUCCAGGUUCCUGGCCCACGCCAGCCGUACCCAGUAGCACAAUGGGAUUUGAGGACACACGCCAGCUGCCUACACCUGAAGAAAGGUUAGUCUUAGGUUUCACUGGCAUGCUUGUCUCUUGGCUUGACUUUUUGGAAGGGGUGGAUUCGAGACAGGGUUUCUCCAUGUAGCCCUGAUCUCAGAUCCGCCUGCCUCUACUCUCUGGAAUUAAAUGCAUACAGCACCACCGACUGGCCCUUGUUUUGUUCUUAAUAUCCUGCCUGCAUUAGCCAGUCUCCAAGCAAGCUACCACCCAGCCAUCUUUUUGUUUUUAGAUCUUAACUAAUCUCCCUAACUCUAAAUCUAUGGUGGAUCCAGGAGCUGCCUUGAUUAUUUCUUGUGCCUUUAAGUUCUGUAUGCUAGUCCACGGCAGUGGGUCUCAGCCUUCCUGAGGGCCUUUAAUGCAGUUCCUCGGGCUGUGAUGUUCCUAACCAUCGGUUUUAUUUUCCUUGUAUCUUCAUAACUAAAGUUUGCUAUUGUGAUAACACAGGCUGUCCUGUCUGGGACCCCUAUGUAAGGGUUCCUUGGUGACACAGGUUGAGAGCCACUGUUUUAGACUAUGCUUUUGGGUAUUUAGACGGGCUCUCAAUUCAGGAUGGCCUUAGUCCUGGCUCCAACCACCUUUUUUUUUUUUUUUUUAAGAUUUAGAUGUUUGUGAGUACACUAUUGCUGUCUUCAGACACACCAGAAGAGGGCGUCAGAUCCCAUUACACAUGGUUAUGAGCCAUCUCUCCGGCCCAUGCCACCUUUUUUCGUUAAAGGUUUUAGCAGUUAAAUUUCAGUCCCCAGGAGUUUUGGCUUUAUAUAGCUCUGCAACAGUCCGAAGCCUAACUACACACACUGGCUACCGCAUCCUGUGUCUAUCGGAUUGACAUUCCCUGGGUGGUACCCUAGGUUCUGGUCUCCCUCAAUUGAGAGUGAUGAUUUCACAGACUAGAGUCUCUGACGCUGUCCUUGAUGUCAGCUAUAAAUCUGACUCAUUUGGGGAACCUCUUGAGAUUGAGCCCAGUGUGCCAACACUGGCUCUGGUGAGGAACAUACCCUGCUCUCCUGUUUCUCAUUGUGCCCAUCUUAACUCUCCAGGGUGAGCUCUGAGGACUUCACAGGGGCCCCAUCCCCUCACCUAGAUGAGGGCUAACCUUGGAAUCCAGACAAAGGUGGAAGUGACCUAGAUGUGACCUGAAUGAGCUAAUCAUCUAAUGAGAGCCAGCCCUUUGUCCUGCCCACAUGAAGGGCUUUGCUGCUACGCACUGACAAGUUGGACGGCUUUUUAUUGCUUUGUUGCCAGUUAUCUGAACAUGAGAGGCUGUAAGGUGUAAUCUGCGAGCCCUGCGCCCAGACUGAACCAGGGCCUCCCUUGAACAUGAGUAUUAGACAAAUGAAAUAAGAACUUAUCUUGCCCAGACUAUAUAAUGGCUUGGAAAUGCAUAGUUUCCUGAACGAUCUCAAUAAAAUACUUUUAAAAGUA